CCUACGGGUGGCUGCAGUGAGGAAUAUUGGUCAAUGGGCGCGAGCCUGAACCAGCCAAGUAGCGUGAAGGAUGACUGCCCUACGGGUUGUAAACUUCUUUUAUAAAGGAAUAAAGUGAGGCACGUGUGCCUUUUUGUAUGUACUUUAUGAAUAAGGAUCGGCUAACUCCGUGCCAGCAGCCGCGGUAAUACGGAGGAUCCGAGCGUUAUCCGGAUUUAUUGGGUUUAAAGGGAGCGUAGGCCGGCUUUUAAGUCAGCUGUGAAAGUCCGCGGCUCAACCGUGGAAUUGCAGUUGAAACUGGAGGCCUUGAGUACACACAGGGAUGCCGGAAUUCAUGGUGUAGCGGUGAAAUGCUUAGAUAUCAUGAAGAACUCCGAUCGCGAAGGCAAGUGUCCGGGGUGCAACUGACGCUGAGGCUCGAAAGUGCGGGUAUCAAACAGGAUUAGAUACCCCAGUAGUC
This 460-nucleotide ribosomal RNA is filed under the name uncultured bacterium. RNAcentral's name for it is "partial 16S ribosomal RNA". It matches the Rfam family "Bacterial small subunit ribosomal RNA", at positions 338 to 795 of the family's 1533-position model. The record is from RNAcentral.